This 1265-nucleotide ribosomal RNA is filed under the name Ixodes nuttallianus. RNAcentral describes it as "16S ribosomal RNA". The record is from RNAcentral. Lineage: Eukaryota; Metazoa; Arthropoda; Arachnida; Ixodida; Ixodidae.
AUUUUUUAAAAAUUAUAUAAUUUUUAAAGUGAUUAAUAUAAAAAAUUAUAUUAUUUUUGUAUUUUUUCAAGAGGUUUUAUGAAAUUUGAACUGAAGAGGAAGAUAAAGUAUAUUUAUAGGUUUUAAAAAAAUAAAAGUUCAUUUUUUGGUACCUUUUGCAUUAGGGUUUUUUAAAGAAAUUAAAAUAUUUUAAUUUCCCGAAGCUAAAAUGAUCUAUUAAUAUAAAAUUUUUUAUGUGGAAAUAUAAAAAUUAAUAUAUUAAUAGUAAUGAAAUUUUAUUCACAUUUGGUGAUAUCUGGUUAUUAUAAUGCGAUUUUAGAUCGAAAUUAUUAAUAUGAUUUUGUUUACAAAAUUUUGUAUAAUUAGGUCUAUGGGGGAUAAGCUUGAUAGAUUUCUUUAUAAAUUAAAUUUUAUUUAAGUUGAGGGAUGAAAUUUUCUUAGUCUUUUUAUAAAGGAUUUUUUAAAUAAAAUUAAAUUAUUUAGUAAGAUUUUUUAUAUGAUUAAAUUAAUUUUUUUUUAAUAAAAUUAUUAAAAAAUAAGUAAAUGAUAUUUUAAAAAUUAAAAUUCAAUUUUAAUUUUUAAGUUUAAAUUUAUAUUAUAGGAAUUCGGCAAAUUAUUUUAAUUGGCUGUUUAUCAAAAACAUUUCAUCUUGAAACAUUAAUAAGAUGUAUGAUCUGCUCAAUGGAAUUUUUUAAAUUGCCGUGGUAUUUUGACUAUGCGAAGGUAUUGAAAUAAGAUUUUAAAUGAGUGCUAAGAGAAUGGUUGAACAAUUAAGAGCUUUCUUUAAUUAAAUAAUUAAAUUUAAUUUUUUUGUGAAGAAGCAAAAAUAAGAAUUAGGGACAAGAAGACCCUAUGAAUUUUGAUUUAAUUUUGAUUUAAUAUUAAAAAAUUAAAUUUGGUUGGGGCGACGGGAAAAGAAUGUUUAUCUUUUUAUAUUUAAUUUUUUUUAAUAGGUUCCGUUUUUAGCGAUUAAAUGAAAAAAAUACUCUAGGGAUAACAGCGUAAUAAUUUUGGAUAGUUCAUAUUGAUAAAAUAGUUUGCGACCUCGAUGUUGGAUUAGGAUUCUUUAUUGGCGGAGAAGUUAAAUAAAAGAAGUUUGUUCAACUUUUGAUUUCCUACAUGAUCUGAGUUCAGACCGGCGUAAGCCAGGUUGGUUUCUAUCUUAAUUAAUUUGAUUAUUUUUUUAGUACGAAAGGAAUAAAAAAUUUUAAUUUUUUUAAUUUUUUAAAAUUUUAAAAAGUUUUUAACUAAUUUGGCAGAAAAAA